GCGGUACCGGUUCACGCCGUCCGGUCGUGCGCCGAGCGUGCGCCCCAGAGGGCGACCCGGCGACC
Molecule: regulatory RNA element, 65 nt
Organism: Thermomonospora curvata DSM 43183
Lineage: Bacteria; Bacillati; Actinomycetota; Actinomycetes; Streptosporangiales; Thermomonosporaceae
Rfam family: L31-Actinobacteria ribosomal protein leader
Source: Rfam